CACGGCGGCUGGCGCACUUCCUGAUAACGGGCAGUGUUUCGCGUCUGCAUAAGACAAACAGAUACCUUGCCCGCCAUUGCGCGGGCUUUUUUUU
Regulatory RNA element from Enterobacter cloacae, 94 nucleotides. It matches the Rfam family "Tryptophan operon leader". Rfam says of the family: At least 6 amino acid operons are known to be regulated by attenuation. In each a leader sequence of 150-200 bp is found upstream of the first gene in the operon. The record is from Rfam. NCBI's taxonomy places the organism in Bacteria, Pseudomonadati, Pseudomonadota, Gammaproteobacteria, Enterobacterales, Enterobacteriaceae.